CAGUAUUUAGGCCAGAGCAAACAAUCACCACCAGGUGGUGCCAAACCAAAGACAGUACCAGAAUGGACCUGCCCGGGCCUGCACCUUGUCAUACCCCGCACCUGCCCUGGAACUAGCUGUGCAGGCAUUUUAUCAUCUCACAUCAUCACAAGAAGGGUUCAAAAUUCACUGCUUUAUGGUUGACUAAUCUUCGACAAAGCAGGAAAGAAUAUCCAAUGGAAUACAGUCCCUUCAACAAACGGUGUUGGAAAAACUGAACAUCAACAUGCAGAAGAAUGAAAAUGGACCACUUCCUUAUACCAUAGAC
Molecule: long non-coding RNA, 307 nt
Organism: Canis lupus familiaris (dog)
Lineage: Eukaryota; Metazoa; Chordata; Mammalia; Carnivora; Canidae
Exons: 3
Source: RefSeq, a predicted model, not a curated record